UACAGAGGUCCCGAGCGUUGUUCGGAUUCAUUGGGCGUAAAGGGUGCGUAGGCGGUCUGCUAAGUUUGAUGUGAAAUCCCGGGGCUCAACCCUGGAAUGGCAUUGAAUACUGGCGGACUAGAGUACCGGAGAGGAAACUGGAAUUUACGGUGUAGCAGUGAAAUGCGUAGAGAUCGUAAGGAAGACCAGUGGCGAAGGCGAGUUUCUGGACGGUAACUGACGCUCAUGCACGAAAGCGUGGGGAGCAAACAGG
Molecule: ribosomal RNA, 253 nt
Filed under: uncultured bacterium
Lineage: Bacteria
Description: partial 16S ribosomal RNA
Rfam family: Bacterial small subunit ribosomal RNA
Source: RNAcentral